AGCCCCCAUUCCCUGUUCCUCUGCACUGCUCAGGACGUUGUAGGCAAAUGUCUUUGUGCUGCAAUUGUCCGAUUGUCUUUGCAUGAGGACAGUGUUACAGCAACUGAUGGCUGUCAUCCCUCUGGAUGGGAUUCAAUUUGGAGUUCACUUUACAAUUUUAGCUGCCAAAGAGAAUAAGUCUGACUGAUGUGAGGCUGCUAUCUGCUCAACAUGUUCCCAGAUCAUAGAGGAUAUGCUGGAGAUCAGGGCCAUCCAACUCACAGAGACCUCCACUGGUGUGGUUUGAACAUACUUUUCCUGCCGUGAGAAGGGAGACUGUGCUGCAUUAUGAAAACAUCAACAUCAAAAAGAAGGCAAGAAAAAAUAUGACCUCCUCAUCCCAUGGUAUCAUGAAGUAAUAGAAUUACAGGAAGAAAAGAAGGGUUUUCAAGGACCUGGAUAAUAUGAAAUGAAAAGUCAGUUUUGGA
Long non-coding RNA from Cygnus olor (mute swan), 467 nucleotides. RefSeq lists it as uncharacterized. The transcript has 5 exons. The record is from RefSeq and is a predicted model, not a curated record. Lineage: Eukaryota; Metazoa; Chordata; Aves; Anseriformes; Anatidae.